RNAcentral lists this ribosomal RNA (468 nucleotides) under uncultured bacterium. RNAcentral describes it as "partial 16S ribosomal RNA". It matches the Rfam family "Bacterial small subunit ribosomal RNA", at positions 28 to 507 of the family's 1533-position model. The record is from RNAcentral.
GACGAACGCUGGCGGCGUGCUUAACACAUGCAAGUCGAACGGAAAGGCCCUGCUUUUGUGGGGUGCUCGAGUGGCGAACGGGUGAGUAACACGUGAGUAACCUGCCCUUGACUUUGGGAUAACUUCAGGAAACUGGGGCUAAUACCGGAUAGGAGCUCCUGCUGCAUGGUGGGGGUUGGAAAGUUUCGGCGGUUGGGGAUGGACUCGCGGCUUAUCAGCUUGUUGGUGGGGUAGUGGCUUACCAAGGCUUUGACGGGUAGCCGGCCUGAGAGGGUGACCGGCCACAUUGGGACUGAGAUACGGCCCAGACUCCUACGGGAGGCAGCAGUGGGGAAUAUUGCACAAUGGGCGGAAGCCUGAUGCAGCAACGCCGCGUGCGGGGUGACGGCCCUCGGGUUGUAAACCGCUUUCGCCUGUGACGAAGCGUGAGUGACGGUAAUGGGUAAAGAAGCACCGGCUAACUACGUG